AUAGAGAUCAAGCGUCUGAAGGGCAUCUGGUGGAUGCCUUGGCACUGAGAGGCGAUGAAGGACGUAGCACGUUGCGAUAAGCUUCGGGGAGCCGCGAGCAGGCUUUGAUCCGAGGAUUUCCGAAUGGGGAAACCCACCGCGCAAGCGGUAUCCCAUGCUGAAUAAAUAGGCAUGGGAAGCGAACCCGGCGAACUGAAACAUCUAAGUAGCCGGAGGAAAGGACAUCAACCGAGACUCCGCUAGUAGUGGCGAGCGAACGCGGACCAGGCCAGUCAUUCGAUCUACAUAACCGGAACCGUCUGGAAAGUCGGGCCAUAGCGGGUGAUAGCCCCGUACGGAUAAACCGGAUCGGAUGCUCGAGUAGGGCGGGGCACGUGAAACCCUGUCUGAACAUGGGGGGACCACCCUCCAAGCCUAAGUACUCCUCAGUGACCGAUAGUGCACCAGUACCGUGAGGGAAAG
This 462-nucleotide ribosomal RNA is filed under the name Bacillus toyonensis. RNAcentral's name for it is "bacterial LSU rRNA". It matches the Rfam family "Bacterial large subunit ribosomal RNA", at positions 1 to 513 of the family's 2925-position model. Lineage: Bacteria; Bacillati; Bacillota; Bacilli; Caryophanales; Bacillaceae. The record is from RNAcentral.